This 576-nucleotide ribosomal RNA is filed under the name uncultured bacterium. RNAcentral describes it as "bacterial SSU rRNA". It matches the Rfam family "Bacterial small subunit ribosomal RNA", at positions 338 to 915 of the family's 1533-position model. The record is from RNAcentral.
CCUACGGGAGGCAGCAGUGAGGAAUAUUGGACAAUGGGCGCAAGCCUGAUCCAGCCAUGCCGCGUGCAGGAUGAAGCAUCUAUGGUGUGUAAACUGCUUUUAUACAGGAAGAAACCUCCCGACGUGUCGGGAAUUGACGGUACUGUAAGAAUAAGGAUCGGCUAACUCCGUGCCAGCAGCCGCGGUAAUACGGAGGAUCCAAGCGUUAUCCGGAAUCAUUGGGUUUAAAGGGUCCGUAGGCGGGCCAGUAAGUCAGUGGUGAAAUCUCUCCGCUCAACGGGGAAAUGGCCAUUGAUACUGCUGGUCUUGAAUUAUUAGGAAGUAACUAGAAUAUGUAGUGUAGCGGUGAAAUGCUUAGAGAUUACAUGGAAUACCAAUUGCGAAGGCAGGUUACUACUAAUGGAUUGACGCUGAUGGACGAAAGCGUGGGUAGCGAACAGGAUUAGAUACCCUGGUAGUCCACGCCGUAAACGAUGGAUACUAGCUGUUGGGGGCAACUUCAGUGGCUAAGCGAAAGUGAUAAGUAUCCACCUGGGGAGUAACGUUCGCAAGAAUGAAACUUCAAAGGAAUUGAGG